GAUGAACGCUAGCUAUAGGCUUAACACAUGCAAGUCGAGGGGAAACGGCAGAGAGUGCUUGCACACUUUGGACGUCGACCGGCGCACGGGUGAGUAACGCGUAUCCAACCCGCCCUUUACUUGGGGAUAACCCGUUGAAAGACGGACUAAUACCCAAUGAUAUUCAUUGAUGACAUCUGAUUUGAAUUAAAGAUUUAUCGGUAUAGGAUGGGGAUGCGUCUGAUUAGCUUGUUGGUGAGGUAACGGCUCACCAAGGCCACGAUCAGUAGGGGUUCUGAGAGGAAGGUCCCCCACAUUGGAACUGAGACACGGUCCAAACUCCUACGGGAGGCAGCAGUGAGGAAUAUUGGUCAAUGGACGAGAGUCUGAACCAGCCAAGUAGCGUGCAGGAUGACGGCCCUAUGGGUUGUAAACUGCUUUUGUUUGGGAAUAAUCGACAUUACGUGUAAUGUUUUGCAUGUACCAUUCGAAUAAGGACCGGCUAAUUCCGUGCCAGCAGCCGCGGUAAUACGGAAGGUCCAGGCGUUAUCCGGAUUUAUUGGGUUUAAAGGGAGUGUAGGCGGUUGGUUAAGCGUGUUGUGAAAUGUAGAUGCUCAACAUCUGACUUGCAGCGCGAACUGGCUGACUUGAGUACACACAACGUAGGCGGAAUUCAUGGUGUAGCGGUGAAAUGCUUAGAUAUCAUGAAGAACUCCGAUUGCGAAGGCAGCUUACGGGAGUGUUACUGACGCUUAAGCUCGAAGGUGCGGGUAUCGAACAGG
Molecule: ribosomal RNA, 761 nt
Filed under: uncultured Prevotella sp.
Lineage: Bacteria; Pseudomonadati; Bacteroidota; Bacteroidia; Bacteroidales; Prevotellaceae
Description: bacterial SSU rRNA
Rfam family: Bacterial small subunit ribosomal RNA
Source: RNAcentral